GUAAAUAUUUGUCCGUUUGUUUUUUCAUUUUUUCCCAAUAAUUUUUAAAACCUGUUGUAAAAUCAAAAAAAUGAUUUCCUUGAAGUGCCAACUAGACUAUUUUCGGGAUUUUUGGAUAAUCAGGAUUUAUAUAACAUCACUAAUAUAUAUAUAUAUACACGUUACACAUACCAGACACGGAUCCAGAGCAAAGAUUGGGGGGGG
Cinara cedri is the source of this 204-nucleotide non-coding RNA. Lineage: Eukaryota; Metazoa; Arthropoda; Insecta; Hemiptera; Aphididae. The record is from the annotation of a GenBank genome assembly.